GCACCAGACUCACUGAAUUCCCUGCUAUCGCCCUCUCUUUCCGCCCAAAUCGCACCCAGAACUUAAGCCCAAUCUCAGGUGACAACAUAAGGCAGGCGUAAAACCCUUCAGCCAAAGGGACUCAGACGACCAAGGCAAUCCCAGCAGGGUUGUCAUCUCCCGAGACCAAGGGGGCUUGCUACAGCAGGAAACCACAAAGGAAAAGUCCAGGGAAAACGUGGAAGAGGCAGACCGACA
Tachyglossus aculeatus (Australian echidna) is the source of this 237-nucleotide long non-coding RNA. RefSeq lists it as uncharacterized. The record is from RefSeq and is a predicted model, not a curated record. NCBI's taxonomy places the organism in Eukaryota, Metazoa, Chordata, Mammalia, Monotremata, Tachyglossidae. The transcript is spliced from 3 exons.